GACAUAGGUGGCGAACGUUAUCCGGAAUUACUGGGCGUAAAGCGUGCGCAGGCGGUUCGCUAAGACAGAUGUGAAAUCCCCGGGCUUAACCUGGGAACUGCAUUUGUGACUGGCGGGCUAGAGUAUGGCAGAGGGGGGUAGAAUUCCACGUGUAGCAGUGAAAUGCGUAGAGAUGUGGAGGAAUACCGAUGGCGAAGGCAGCCCCCUGGGCCAAUACUGACGCUCAUGCACGAAAGCGUGGGGAGCAAACAGG
This 253-nucleotide ribosomal RNA is filed under the name uncultured bacterium. Its description in RNAcentral is "partial 16S ribosomal RNA". It matches the Rfam family "Bacterial small subunit ribosomal RNA", at positions 524 to 776 of the family's 1533-position model. The record is from RNAcentral.